Molecule: transfer RNA, 73 nt
Filed under: Ceratitis capitata (Mediterranean fruit fly)
Lineage: Eukaryota; Metazoa; Arthropoda; Insecta; Diptera; Tephritidae
Rfam family: tRNA
About the family: Transfer RNA (tRNA) molecules are approximately 80 nucleotides in length. Their secondary structure includes four short double-helical elements and three loops (D, anti-codon, and T loops).
Source: Rfam by way of RNAcentral
GGUUCCAUAGUGUAGCGGUUAUCACGUCUGCUUUACACACAGAAGGUCUCCAGUUCGAUCCUGGAUGGAACCA